AGGUCCCUUAUAAAAAGGGAUGAUCGAAGAUUCUCUCUUGGAACGUAUUUCAGCUUCUUUCAGUUCCUAUGGAAGGAGCAGACUUGACUGAUGUGGAGCUGAAGAGACAGGAAGUGUGAAAGCCUCACUGCGUUCAUCCGUUAAUGGAUCUACCUGAAUCACACAGAAUGUUCUGUGAGACCAGUUCCAAGGGGAACUUGUCUACAUAUCCUAGGGUACAGCUCAUCUGAAGAGGGAAGGGGCUGAAGAAAGGUGAGAUCCAAUGCGGAGGCAAUCAGCAGAAGUAAAAUUAAGCGCAUCAAGUUUGUCAGUCAGUGAUGGACCAAGAGGUCUCUCAGCCAUAUUCCAGAUGGAACGUUGCCAUCUUGGUAAAUUAAUAGAAGUUUAAGCCAAAGCCUCAGUGACAGUAUGCAUUUCCAUGGAAGGGAGCCGUGUUGCAUAAAGCCAGAGCUCUCCUCGUUUCCAUGUAGCUUCAAGCCUGCUAUUUUGCAGUACUUCAAUCACAUAUCAACAUACAGCAGCAAACUCUGAAAACGACAUAAUGAAAUACAAGCAGCACUCACCAAGUUGCUUCUGUGGUGACUAUUUCUAUCUGAAGAUGCAUGGAUGCAUGUUUUUGUUCAGCUUGUUCUACCAGUAUCAACCUUCAUAUCCAGUAGCUGUGAGAAACAAAGAGGUUAAACCUCAUCAAGAUGAAGUAGUGCCUCAUGUGAGGGUUAAGCAGAAAGAAAAAAACGUGCAAUGAGUUCAGAAGAACAUUGCACACCUCAAAAGAAGACAAGCCUGGAAAGUAAACCUCUGUUGUCUUACCUAAAAUGAAGAAAACAAGCUAGCUUAAAUGCCACCCUAAGAGAAACAGAAGAUGAUGGAGGCAGAGAAGACCACGGAGGUGAGGUUUUCAGCAGUCACAAAGGAGGAAAAAUGCUGGUGAGAGGAAUACUUGGAAACAGAAGGAUAGGAGUAACAGCGUGAAAGCAAAAAGAACUACACACAUCUGAUGAAGAUGCACUCUUUGUUUUUUUCUGUUUUCUAUCAUCUACCCACUCUCCAAAGACCAAAAAGGAGACAAGGGAUAUUUCUAUCUGAUUUAAUGAAGUGGAAAACUAUCAAUCCCCAUUGUGUAGCAAUAUUGGAAAUGAAUGGGCAUUAAUACACGUGUAUUUUUUGGAGGACACCGCUGGCACGAUUAGUUGUGGUGAAGGUGGUGAAAAUGAAGUAAAAGAAAAGGAAAAAGGAAAAAGGAAAAAAAAAAAUCUCAUCCCCAGCAGAGAGAAAAGCAAUAAUUCUGAAGCCGUGGGCACCAGGAGUAUGUAAGACAAAGCUGUCCAAGAGGAGGGAGGACAGGAGGACAACAUUUUAGAUACACUUGCACUG
Long non-coding RNA from Tympanuchus pallidicinctus (lesser prairie-chicken), 1374 nucleotides. RefSeq lists it as uncharacterized. The record is from RefSeq and is a predicted model, not a curated record. Lineage: Eukaryota; Metazoa; Chordata; Aves; Galliformes; Phasianidae. The transcript is spliced from 12 exons.